RNAcentral lists this ribosomal RNA (407 nucleotides) under uncultured bacterium. Its description in RNAcentral is "bacterial SSU rRNA". It matches the Rfam family "Bacterial small subunit ribosomal RNA", at positions 28 to 436 of the family's 1533-position model. The record is from RNAcentral.
GACGAACGCUGGCGGCGUGCUUAACACAUGCAAGUCGAGCGACGCUCCUCCUUCGGGAGGAUGACGGAGCGGCGAACGGGUGAGUAACACGUGGGCAACCUGCCCCUAGCUCUGGGAUAAGCCCGGGAAACCGGGUCUAAUACCGGAUAUGAGUUCGGAAGGCAUCUUCUGACCUGGAAAGUUUUUCGGCUAGGGAUGGGCCCGCGGCCUAUCAGCUUGUUGGUGAGGUAACGGCCCACCAAGGCGACGACGGGUAGCCGGCCUGAGAGGGCGACCGGCCACACUGGGACUGAGACACGGCCCAGACUCCUACGGGAGGCAGCAGUGGGGAAUAUUGCACAAUGGGCGAAAGCCUGAUGCAGCGACGCCGCGUGAGGGAUGACUGCCUUCGGGUUGUAAACCUCUUU